Long non-coding RNA from Aricia agestis (brown argus), 280 nucleotides. RefSeq lists it as uncharacterized. The transcript is spliced from 3 exons. NCBI's taxonomy places the organism in Eukaryota, Metazoa, Arthropoda, Insecta, Lepidoptera, Lycaenidae. The record is from RefSeq and is a predicted model, not a curated record.
AAGUUUGACGUUGAUAUUUUAGCUGCCUCUUACCAGUCGGUGAUCACUUCCGGUAUUAAACCUAUUGAUCACAGAGACAUCUCUGAAUAUAUGACUUUGUCAGAAGCGAUAAAGUCAAUCUCAUUCCUUGUCUCAUUAUCAGGGCUUUGCCAGGUCCACUUCCUAUGGGGCUUUUUGUGGAAGAAGGUGUUCAUUAGAAAAAGCCCUUUGGAUUCGAGAAAGUUUACUAGCAUUUGCCCCCUAUGAUUUCUGCACCCAAGGCCAAAGGGGCCGAUUUCAG